UACGUAGGGGGCAAGCGUUGUCCGGAUUUAUUGGGCGUAAAGAGCGUGUAGGCGGUCUGGUAGGUCCGCUGUGAAAACUCGAGGCUCAACCUCGAGACGCCGAUGGAAACCAUCAGACUAGAGUCCGGAAGAGGAGAGUGGAAUUCCUGGUGCAGCGGUGAAAUGCGCAGAUAUCAGGAAGAACACCCGUGGCUAAGGCGGCUCUCUGGGACGGUACUGACGCUGAGACGCGAAAGCGUGGGGAGCGAACAGG
This 253-nucleotide ribosomal RNA is filed under the name uncultured bacterium. RNAcentral describes it as "partial 16S ribosomal RNA". It matches the Rfam family "Bacterial small subunit ribosomal RNA", at positions 524 to 776 of the family's 1533-position model. The record is from RNAcentral.